RNAcentral lists this ribosomal RNA (884 nucleotides) under uncultured bacterium. Its description in RNAcentral is "bacterial SSU rRNA". It matches the Rfam family "Bacterial small subunit ribosomal RNA", at positions 56 to 944 of the family's 1533-position model. The record is from RNAcentral.
UGCAAGUCGAGUGCGCGGUUGUAGCAAUACAACUGGCGCACGGCGCACGGGUGCGUAACACGUGGGCAAUCUGCCCUCCGAUGGGGAAUAACCCCGCGAAAGCGGGGCUAAUACCGCAUAACAUUCCAGGAACUCUGGUUUCUGGAUUCAAAGCCGUAAGGCGUCGGUGGAGGAGCCCGCGCACGAUUAGCUAGUUGGUAGGGUAACGGCCUACCAAGGCUGUGAUCGUUAGCUGGUCUGAGAGGAUGGCCAGCCACACUGGAACUGAGACACGGUCCAGACUCCUACGGGAGGCAGCAGUGGGGAAUCUUGCGCAAUGGGCGAAAGCCUGACGCAGCGACGCCGCGUGGGGGAUGAAGCUUCUCGGAGUGUAAACCCCUUUCGACUGGGACGAAUACCUCGCAAGAGGGGUGACGGUACCAGUAGAAGAAGCCCCGGCUAACUACGUGCCAGCAGCCGCGGUAAGACGUAGGGGGCCAGCGUUGUUCGGAAUUACUGGGUGUAAAGGGUUCGUAGGCGGUGUGGCAAGUCGGGAGUGAAAUUUCUGGGCUUAACUCAGAGACUGCUUCCGAAACUGCUGUGCUUGAGUGUGGGAGAGGCGCGUGGAAUUGCAGGUGUAGCGGUGAAAUGCGUAGAUAUCUGCAGGAACACCCGUGGCGAAAGCGGCGCGCUGGACCACCACUGACGCUGAGGAACGAAAGCUAGGGGAGCAAACAGGAUUAGAUACCCUGUAGUCCUAGCCCUAAACGAUCAGGACUUGGGGUGCCACCCGUCCGGGUGUCGUCCCGGAGCUAACGCGUUAAGUCCUGCACCUGGGGAGUACGGUCGCAAGACUGAAACUCAAAGGAAUUGACGGGGGCCCGCACAAGCGGUGGAACAUGUGG